RNAcentral lists this ribosomal RNA (425 nucleotides) under uncultured bacterium. RNAcentral describes it as "bacterial SSU rRNA". It matches the Rfam family "Bacterial small subunit ribosomal RNA", at positions 354 to 796 of the family's 1533-position model. The record is from RNAcentral.
GUGGGGAAUCUUGCGCAAUGGGCGAAAGCCUGACGCAGCCAUGCCGCGUGAAUGAUGAAGGUCUUAGGAUUGUAAAAUUCUUUCACCGGGGAAGAUAAUGACGGUACCCGGAGAAGAAGCCCCGGCUAACUUCGUGCCAGCAGCCGCGGUAAUACGAAGGGGGCUAGCGGUGCUCGGAAUUACUGGGCGUAAAGGGCGCGUAGGCGGACAUUUAAGUCAGAGGUGAAAGCCCAGGGCUCAACCUUGGAAUUGCCUUUGAUACUGGAUGUCUUGAGUUCGGGAGAGGUGAGUGGAAUGCCGAGUGUAGAGGUGAAAUUCGUAGAUAUUCGGAAGAACACCAGUGGCGAAGGCGACUGACUGGACAAGUAUUGACGCUGAGGUGCGAAAGCGUGGGGAGCAAACAGGAUUAGAAACCCGGGUAGUCC